RNAcentral lists this transfer RNA (78 nucleotides) under Plutella xylostella (diamondback moth). RNAcentral's name for it is "tRNA-Glu". The record is from RNAcentral. Lineage: Eukaryota; Metazoa; Arthropoda; Insecta; Lepidoptera; Plutellidae.
GUCAGUGCGUGAGAAGCUCAGCCGAGUAAGCGCUCGCUUCUCACGCAAGAGAUGCGGGUUCGAAUCCCGGCGCUGACA